RNAcentral lists this non-coding RNA (26 nucleotides) under Cricetulus griseus (Chinese hamster). The record is from RNAcentral. Lineage: Eukaryota; Metazoa; Chordata; Mammalia; Rodentia; Cricetidae.
UAGAGUGUAGGUGCAUGUGCUGGAUC